CUUUCGAAGUCGUCGUAAAGAUUACAAUAUCUACGCGGGGCGAUGGUGACUGUCCCGUGUAGGUGUAAAGAACCGGCCAAACUACUUCUUGGCCUGCACACACUGCCGACCCGAUGUGGGCGUGCGCACAGGAAGUUGAAGAUCUAAUGGCAAUUCAAUUAUGAAGUGCAUGUGAACAUCAGAAGAUAGAAGUUGAAUGAACAAACUUAAUGGUGCAAAUAAACAGUUUCAAGUUAAACAUGAA
This is a long non-coding RNA of Maniola jurtina (meadow brown), 244 nucleotides long. RefSeq lists it as uncharacterized. The record is from RefSeq and is a predicted model, not a curated record. The transcript is spliced from 2 exons. NCBI's taxonomy places the organism in Eukaryota, Metazoa, Arthropoda, Insecta, Lepidoptera, Nymphalidae.